The sequence is a ribosomal RNA, 891 nucleotides long. The stretch from base 302 to 456 matches the Rfam family "5.8S ribosomal RNA".
UUAGAGGAAGUAAAAGUCGUAACAAGGUUUCCGUAGGUGAACCUGCGGAAGGAUCAUUAUAGAAUAUAUUUCAAAACGGAAUGGGUUUAGAGAGACUGUCGCUGGCUUGGAUUUCAAUUUCGAUUUCAAUGCAUGUGCACGCCUCUCACCCUUUCCCUUUCUGAACUACACACACUAGUGCACCUAUUGUAGAUCCACUCGAAAGAGUGAGAUCUAUGUUUUUCAUCUCAUCACACACAUAGUAUGUCUAGAAUGUCAUUUUAUCUAACAAGACUUUCGGGUCUGUUGAUAAACAAUAUACAACUUUCAGCAACGGAUCUCUUGGCUCUCGCAUCGAUGAAGAACGCAGCGAAUUGCGAUAAGUAAUGUGAAUUGCAGAUUUCCAGUGAAUCAUCGAAUCUUUGAACGCACCUUGCGCUCCUUGGUAUUCCGAGGAGCAUGCCUGUUUGAGUGUCAUCGAAUUCUCAACCAUUCUCUUGAUUAAUCUUCAAGAGAUCAUGGCUUGGAAUUGGGGGUUGCUGGCGAGACUUGUCAGCUCUCCUUAAAUGCAUUAGCGAUGUGUUGGCUAGUCUUUGACGUACACGGCCUUCGAUGUGAUAAUGAUCAUCGUGGCUGGAGCGUCUUUCAGACUAUGCACAUAGAUCAUUGCUUCUAACCUGAAUUGAAUUGAAUUGAAGGAAGAAGUAGGGUGGAGUCCAAAGUCCAAAGUCCAUCAAGCUUAGCUACUAGGCAGUCUUUACUACAAAGGGCUGGCGAACACGAGCAAGAUGAUAAGACAAAAGACAAGCUUGUUCCCCUCCCCGCUCCUUUUCCCCUUCAUAUUCAUACUUCAUACAUUUAGAGACUUGACCUCAAAUCAGGUAGGACUACCCGCUGAACUUAAGCAUAUCA